AGAAGUGCCUUUAUAAGAGUUACUGAUGGCGUCAUCGCCCUACUGGAACCAGAUGCCCUCACCAACCUCCAUGCAAUUGAAGAUGAUGGAGAAACAUUGUCUGCGGCACUUGAAAGGGA
Molecule: long non-coding RNA, 119 nt
Organism: Gadus chalcogrammus (walleye pollock)
Lineage: Eukaryota; Metazoa; Chordata; Actinopteri; Gadiformes; Gadidae
Exons: 3
Source: RefSeq, a predicted model, not a curated record